UACGAAGGGGGCUAGCGUUGUUCGGAAUUACUGGGCGUAAAGGGCGCGUAGGCGGUCCCUCAAGUCAGGCGUGAAAGCCCCGGGCUCAACCUGGGAACCGCGCUUGAGACUGAUGGGCUAGAGUUCGGGAGAGGAUGGUGGAAUUCCCAGUGUAGAGGUGAAAUUCGUAGAUAUUGGGAAGAACACCGAUGGCGAUGGCAGCCAUCUGGACCGACACUGACGCUGAGGCGCGAAAGCGUGGGGAGCAAACAGG
RNAcentral lists this ribosomal RNA (253 nucleotides) under uncultured bacterium. RNAcentral's name for it is "partial 16S ribosomal RNA". It matches the Rfam family "Bacterial small subunit ribosomal RNA", at positions 524 to 776 of the family's 1533-position model. The record is from RNAcentral.